RNAcentral lists this ribosomal RNA (440 nucleotides) under uncultured Paracoccaceae bacterium. Its description in RNAcentral is "bacterial SSU rRNA". It matches the Rfam family "Bacterial small subunit ribosomal RNA", at positions 920 to 1382 of the family's 1533-position model. The record is from RNAcentral. Lineage: Bacteria; Pseudomonadati; Pseudomonadota; Alphaproteobacteria; Rhodobacterales; Paracoccaceae.
CCCGCACAAGCGGUGGAGCAUGUGGUUAAUUCGAAGCAACGCGCAGAACCUUACCAACCCUUGACAUGGGUAUCGCGGCUCCAGAGAUGGAGCUUUCAGUUCGGCUGGAUACCACACAGGUGCUGCAUGGCUGUCGUCAGCUCGUGUCGUGAGAUGUUCGGUUAAGUCCGGCAACGAGCGCAACCCACAUUCUUAGUUGCCAGCAUUCAGUUGGGCACUCUAGGAAAACUGCCGAUGAUAAGUCGGAGGAAGGUGUGGAUGACGUCAAGUCCUCAUGGCCCUUACGGGUUGGGCUACACACGUGCUACAAUGGCAGUGACAAUGGGUUAAUCCCAAAAAGCUGUCUCAGUUCGGAUUGGGGUCUGCAACUCGACCCCAUGAAGUCGGAAUCGCUAGUAAUCGCGUAACAGCAUGACGCGGUGAAUACGUUCCCGGGCCUU